Molecule: unclassified non-coding RNA, 354 nt
Filed under: soil metagenome
Description: partial contains 5.8S ribosomal RNA, internal transcribed spacer 2, and large subunit ribosomal RNA
Rfam family: 5.8S ribosomal RNA (bases 1-120)
Source: RNAcentral
GAUGAAGAACGUAGCGAAAUGCGAUAAGUAAUGUGAAUUGCAGAAUUCAGUGAAUCAUCGAAUCUUUGAACGCACAUUGCGCCCCUUGGUAUUCCGGGGGGCAUGCCUGUCCGAGCGUCAUUUCUGCCCUCCAGCCCGGCUGGGUGUUGGGCGCUGUCCCCCCGGGGACACGCCCCAAAGGCAGUGGCGGCGCCGCGUCGGGUCCUCGAGCGUAUGGGGCUUUGUCACCCGCUCGGGACGGACUCGUCGGCGCUGGUCUUCCUCCAGGCGACCCUUCGGGGCUCGUCUUCCUUCGGUUGACCUCGGAUCAGGUAGGGUUACCCGCUGAACUUAAGCAUAUCAAUAAGCGGAGGA